ACGGGGGGACUCCUACGGGAGGCAGCAGUGGGGAAUUUUGGACAAUGGGCGCAAGCCUGAUCCAGCCAUUCCGCGUGCAGGAUGAAGGCCCUCGGGUUGUAAACUGCUUUUGUACGGAACGAAAAGGCGCUCUCUAAUACAGGGUGCUGAUGACGGUACCGUAAGAAUAAGCACCGGCUAACUACGUGCCAGCAGCCGCGGUAAU
RNAcentral lists this ribosomal RNA (205 nucleotides) under uncultured Alicycliphilus sp. RNAcentral describes it as "partial 16S ribosomal RNA". It matches the Rfam family "Bacterial small subunit ribosomal RNA", at positions 326 to 524 of the family's 1533-position model. The record is from RNAcentral. Lineage: Bacteria; Pseudomonadati; Pseudomonadota; Betaproteobacteria; Burkholderiales; Comamonadaceae.